Molecule: long non-coding RNA, 21012 nt
Organism: Columba livia (rock pigeon)
Lineage: Eukaryota; Metazoa; Chordata; Aves; Columbiformes; Columbidae
Exons: 12
Source: RefSeq, a predicted model, not a curated record
AAAGAAGAGAAGAAGAAAUGGUCUCCACCAUUAAUAAAAUUUCUGGUGCCUCACAUCAAUAUCUGUUCUCUUACAUGUUCUGCUUUUUAAACACUGACAUCAAGAGAAGCUCUGCAGGAUGAAAGGGUUAUUAUAUGACUGGACACCUUGAGUCACCUGGGGUAAAUUACCACAUUCUCUCAGUUAAGUCCUUGUGUUCUGAUGAAAUCAGUGGAGCUUGUUUUCACUGCUGGAGUAUCUGAGCCAUCAAGUUUAAUGAAUCAUUACAAAUAAAUUAAUUGGCAUUUGCAGGUGCUAUUAAAACAUAUAUAUUUAUUUUUAACCAAGAGAUUUUGUUUUACCUAGGAAGAGCAAUCUUUGUAAGUCACAAUGAUUUAAAUAUGGAGUACUGGAAUAAGUUUUGCUCAUUAGAAAGCCUGAUGCUGAAUUCAAUAUUACUGUCUGGUAAAUUUACCUCCUCCAGAAUUUAAGACUUUGAGUUGCAGGGGAUAAAACAUAAGGCCCUGGUUAAUUGCAAAUAAAUAGUGCCAGAAAUAUGUACAGAUGGUACCUGUAGUUCACUGCUGAAGACUAUCCAGUAAACUAUAUAUAAUUUGCGCGACAUGUAUGUACAGGAAGCAGGAGAACAACUUUUUUUGUGGUUUCUCACAUUUGUAAAAAAAAACCCAAAACAACAAAAAAAGAAAUAAUAAAUGAACGCUCUCAGUCUGUGAAACUUCUUAUUUGGGAAAACAGCAACCUGUAUUUCUAUUUAUUUACCUUAAUUAAAUUAAUUAAUUUAACAAGUCUAAAGGUUUCAGCAUUUUACAGGAUACAGGUGUAAAUAUCUGGCGAAUAGAGUGUAUAUAUUAAACUACAUCUACUUAGCUAGUAAAUAUUUUGCUGCAUUAGUUUGCUUAUUCCCAAGCAAUCAGUUGUGAACUCCAGUGUUGUAACGGGUCCACAGGGAACAUUUGUGCUUUGGUUGGCACUUAGAUUAAAUUAAUCAAAUGAUUUUUUUCCCCCUUCAAGGCUGACAUUUCAGAAUUUUUUUUUUAAAGGUUGUGUGCCAACUGCCAAAGUCAAUUAAUUAAAUAGUAAAUCUGAAAUUUGUAGGGGAAGAAUAUCGUUCCAUUUUGCUGUGCGACCUUGGAAAAGUGAACAUUUAAUCCACAAAACACAUGUCUUACUAGAGGGUCCUGGUCUGUUUGCAUUGAAAGGAAAAGCAAAACUCUCAGAGAUUGUUUGUGAGAUUAGGAAUUACCUCAAGGAUGGCAUUUUGCCCUUCUGCUUUUGAUACUAUGUAGUAAUGAGAAUAUCCUUUGACGCCCUGGUCUGUUUGAUAUCUUACAGGAUUCAGCACUUAGUAGAAAGCAAAUGUGCAAAUUUGAUGCCUCAUUUUCCAUGUAUUUGAAGGUACCCUAGAUGAAGGCAGGAUGUGCAGUCGCAGUAUUUGUGAUUUCUGUGCCUGUGAAAGAACUUCAGCUCAGAUCCAUAAUGGCAAUGACAGAGGCAAAAUUCAAUAGACAUGAGCAGAUGACCAUGGUGUGCAUCAGAACCCUAGGUUUUGGGCCCUGUACAUGCAUGAAAUGGAAACACAGCCCAAAGACAGUAUAAAAGACAGUAGAAACAGCGAAUGGGGCAGGUGGGUUAAGGCAGACAAGGUAAGUGCUUUGCUCCCUUUGCCAUUUGAAAUUCUUUCAUUCUGUGUUUUGCUACAAUUUCAAGUUCAGGACUUGCACAUAAUUUUCAGCCUGCCCAUGCCACGUUUGUUUCAGGAAGGUAGAUAUUUGUUUAUUUGGGAAGAGAAAAGCUGCCUAGAGUGGUUUCCUGCAUAAGCAGAAGUUUGUUAGCGUUUGGUCUCUAAUUUGACAACUUGGUGUGAGGGAGGUAGAGUUCAAGGAAAAGCGGUGAUCAGCCAUCUGUAGCAGGGAGAAGUGGUGAAAAGUGCUAGUGCCAAGGGUGUUUCUUGUAGGAAUGUAGGUGCUAUAUAUUAAGAUAUAGGAAGGUAAUUCCUCUCAGAAUUCAAAAUCAUUUCCCUUCUCCUACUCCUUUGCUUUAUAAAGUGAAUAUAGCAGCAGUUGUUUCUCUCAGAGCCCUGUAGUACAAUUCUUAGGACAUGUAUUUCAUAGAAUCAUAGAACACUUUGGGUUGGAAGGGACCUUCAAAGGUCAUCUAGUGCAGCCCCCUGCAAUGAGCAGGGACAUCUUCAACUAGAUCAGGUUGCUCAGAGCCCUGUCCAGCCUGGCCUUGAAUGUUUCCAAGGGUGGGGCACUGACCACAUCUCUGGGCAACCUGAGCCAGUGUUUUACCACCGUCGUUGUAAAAAAAUGUGUUCCUUUCUUUGGAGUUGUCCUGCCUGUCCAGACACUGGAGAUUUUAAAGUAAGGACAACUCAUGUUUUCCUGUUGAAAUUGUUCCUCAUGAAAGAGACUUACAGAUGUGAUGGCCCAGAAAGACUGAGUCGCUCAGGCGUGAGCAGAAUUGGGAGAUCUUCAGCUCUGCUGUUCUGAGCCACUGUUACUGUAUUUGGUCUCAGGGAUAUUUGGUGUAAAACAUUAGCAAGAAUACCUCCAAGAAGGAGAAAAAUAAGGAUGACAAGCUGUGGGUAAUGCUUGAGGUCAAAGCUACUUUGGGUUGCCAGCAUCUUCAUACUGUAAAAAUUGAAGUGUUUAUGCCUAUAAGGAGAAUCCCUGAGGGGACAUGGGAAACUUUAGUUUAAACAAUUGAAGGAAUUCAGAUGGGGCCAAGACUAAGCAAUAGAUGAGUGGAAGUUUAGAAUAUUGAAUUUUGAUUUAGAUCCCAUCUGAGGCACCUAGAGUCUUGGGUGGGUCUAAAACUCCGCUGUUAUGUAUUUAAAAUUUCUUCCUGUAGGAUGGAUUUGUUGAUAUUUAUUUAUCUCAGGAGAAUGUUGAGCAGAUAAAUGGGUCAAGCACUCACUUAUUACAGUAAUAAACGUAAUAUAUAUGGGCUUGGGCAAAUAGAAAAGGUGUUUUAAAUGGCUUGUAAAAUUUGGCAGAGAACAAUCUCAUGAAUGUUUCUAGAUGAUCACUGGAUUACCAAGUUUCCCUUAACUGGUGUUGGGAGGUUGUCCAUGUUGUUUUUGUGAAAAACGCCUGUAUCUCUUCAUGAGCUGUGAAUCCAGUUUUCCAAGAGAUCAUUAAACAUGAAAGAACUAAACAUCCUAUAUUUUUUUCCCUAAAGUUGUACCUCAGCAUUGUCUUCAUUGGUAGCCUUGUCUGCAGGAAGUGUAAAGUUUCCUGCUAUGAUUGUUUGACUGCUGCCAAUUAUCAGAUCUGCUUUUGGCAGCUUUUCCUUCAACCUGCUGAUUAGCUAAUGUGUGGUUACUAAUACAAUAUGGGAAACUGGUGUAAACGAGGAAGCAAAAAGUUUUACUAAUUUCAUGUGCUAAAUACUGUUUGUAAUAUAAUUAUCAAUACUGUGAAAAGAAAUCCUGGCUUAAGAAAUAGUCAGGUUUCCAUGUCUUUUGUGAAAUGAGGCACAAGAAUUUUGUGCAGUAAACAGGCAUAUUUUCCCCUUGAUACACACACAUAAUUUUCAUUAGAUUCAUGGAUUUUAAAGACAGAAGAGGGACCAUUAGAACAUCUAGUCUAAGUACCUGUAAAACACAGGCCACAGAGUUUCAUCCAGCUACCCUGUAUCAUAAUUAUUAAAAAAUAGGAGCCAAAUCCUAGGCUGGAUGUACAGCAGUUUUACUCCACCAAGCUGGAAUAAUGGUGAUUUAUGCCAGCUAAGAAAUUGGCAGUGGACUUAAGUGACAAUGGAUUCUUUCUGCAUAAACCUAAAUGAAAAUGGUCACUUCUAUUUUAAUAGCAGUGUUGAAAGAGCCUUACUGGGAGUAAGUUUUUGCAAAGUUUUUUAACUUUAGAAGAAAAUGAGGUUUUUCCCAAACUUUUCUGAGAUGAUUGUGUUCCCUGUUGUAAUUUAAACUUAUCCCUUCACUGGAUUUCCUGAAGAAAAGGCAUAAAGUUAGCAGAAAAAAUGUUUAUCUUUAAAUUGAAAUCCAUGCCAAGAUUCUUAUUUGUAAUUAAUUCAUUCCACAGGAUUUUAGUGGGAGGAGGAAGAACUAAACAAUAUAAUAAAAACCUCAUUUUUUUCAGAGCCGUAAAGAUCUUGAACUCAAAAGUUCAAAGAUUAAAAGUCUCAAGGGCUAAAAUGUAGAGUCUGUGAUUUCUCUCAUUAGGUUCUAUAUUUAGCAAAACAAGAUGUCUCAUCACUCUUUUGUAGCCAUCUGUACAUGUGUGUGGAUGAUGUUAUUAUAAUUAUAGCACAUACAGCCUUAUCAUUUAGCUACAGACAGAAUUCUACCUGCUCAGAGCUAAAGGGUUUAAGAAUGCCCUCAGACAAUAUUGACAUAGCCAACGCCAUAACAUCCUGCAAUCUGCACAGAAACGAAGACUUUGUGCACACCAAAGCUGAACAAAAAAACUUCCUUCCUGCUCCCCUAGCCCAGGAGAGAGUGUUUAAAGGAAAAUACCAGUGUGGGGAGAAUAACCUUCAGAUUCCAAACAAGUUACUGUCAGUUCUGUCUAGGAGAAGGUGGUGAAGGCUUUUGUGUUGAGCAACACAGAAAUCUGUGACUAUCAUGCCAACGUGUAGAAUAUACAGAAAGGAAGACAGCUUCUUAUUAGAGUAGCUGCUUAUGUGGAUAGUAAGAAGAGAAAAUCUCCUCGCAUAAUAGUUCUCAGUAAUUAUAAGACAACUGCUGGUUUGUCUGAAGAACAGUUGGAGGUGCUUUAUAUUUGGUUAAAAAAAAGUAAGCAGAAUACGUACAUUGUAACACAUUUGCCUUACUUUUUUCCCCUAGUGUUUUUCUUCAGAGCUGGAAGUCUGUUUCAAGAUGUCACAGCACAUUUUUGUUCCACUGUCACAUGGAGAAAAAAUUAUGAUAAUUUGUUACACAGAUAAACAUCAGAAGACAUGCUCUGAAGCUUACCAAUACACUCCACUUCUUUCUAUUUUCUUUAAGCAGGACUAGAAGAGCCAAACUCUUCUUGAGAAAGAAGGUUUCGCUUUGUCUUUACCCACAAGGAUUUAAGUGUUCCCCAUCCUCUUGGAAAUCCUCAUUUUCCUCUGUCAUACCACUUAAGUAUUUGGUAACAUCACACUUGCCUACAAAGCUUGUAAAACAUCACAUGCUUCAGCCUGUGGCAAACAACAUCUACCUCAUGAGGUACACCCAGGUUCUGAAUUCUUCCUGCAGUGCCUGAACCUAAGGUCCACUCAGCACUCCGUAAGAAAAUUGAGAAAAAAUACCUGUACAUCUAUUUUAUGCAGUCAGGCAAGACCAGCUGGUUAAUGAUGCCAUCUUAAACACUCUCAUUAAUAUCAACCUGUUGGCUUAUGUUAGAUGCUGCUGUGAAAUGGAUCCCCAGGAAUGAGACACUGGGAACAGUGGCUUGUAAAUGAGGACAACCCUUUGCAGCACCCUACUGAGUUUGGUGGUGUAUUGCAGCAUGUAGAGGACACUGCUCCUUCUCACCCUGCCUCAUUAUGGUAUCUUCUGCCCAAAGGAAGAUGUGUGUAGAGUGUGCCAGUAUAUUUGCACUAUGAUACAAGGUAAGACAAGGCAACACACGAGUGCCACAGAGAAGCCAGACAGGAGAGGCACUGAGUGAGGUCUGAACUGUAUACAGUGGGUAAGCUACCGUGAUCCUGUGUUUAUUUCUUGCUUCAGUCCCACACUUUUCAGGCCAUUAGGCUGACCUCCAAGAAACUUUAAAAAUAUUGUUUUCCAAAAGCUAAAGGUAGACUAUUGUUAUUAAAAAAAAGGCUGUUGUUCAUGGUCUUGCCAAAUUAAUUUUUGCUUCAGUGAAUGUGAUGCAAAAUUUAUAUAGUAUAGCCUCAUCAGUGAAUAAAAAGGCUCCUUUAACCCAGUCGUAUAUAAGUAUCAGUAAUACAAAAUUCUGACAAUUGUAAGAGCAUUGCAUUCACGGAAGCUUUGCACUUUCAGUCUAGUGAUAAAACAUCAGUCUGUAUAUAGUUCCAUUUUGUCAUUUGCUUGUGGAGUACUUCUUUCCUACACUAAAAUUAAAAUUGAAAAUACUUUUUCACUUUUGGGGAAAAGAGCACGACUGAAGAGAAAUUCUCCCUGGCAAAUUAAUAGAUAAGGUCUGCCAUGCUAACUCAAAAGCAAGCAAAAGGUAAAAAUUCAAUCUCUUUAUCACAGUUAAGUCAUUUUUCUAAACUGGGGAAGUAAUAUAGGAUGGAAUAUAUAGGAUAGAUUCUCUUACAGAAAGUGCUUUUAAACUUUAAAAGAUCCAUAACUAAUAUUAGGAAUGGGUAUAAAUGACAGUCUUCUCUUUUAGAUUAUGUUGCAUUUAUUACAUUCUACUGGGACUUUACAGAAAUUCUCAAGGAAUUAAAGUUAUAUUUAUGAUAAAAACAUGGAGCUGCUUCUAAAUAGCCUUUUCAUCAUAUUAACUGUUGCCUAGAUAACAGGCAUAUCUCCUCGAGCACCUCUAUUCUGGUUCAGCACUACAGCUUGCAAAUUAAUACAGUCAUUAUAAGACAGCAAAGCUAUAUCACUUACCAUUUCAUUAUUGUUCAUAUCAAAAUCCAUAUUUUUUCAGUUUUCCCUAGGGUUACAAACCGGAUAGGGAAAUGUUAUCAUCUUGCAAAAUAAUCUCUCAAGACUCACUCUCUCUGGUGUUAAGAGGAGCAGUUAAUCAUAUUGCAAUAAUUUUCAUAUUAAUAGGUCCUGUGCAAAGAGAGAGUUAAUACUCUCCUUCUACAUUCAAUCCUCCAUUAGAGUCUUUUAUAUAUAUAUAUAUAUAUAUAUUUAUAUGUGUGUAUGUGUAUAUAUAUAUAUAUGUAUAUAUAUUAAUUUGCUUGGAACUAGAUUAGCACAAAAGAUAUCACGUCCUACUCAGUAUAUGAAGGGUCAAAUCAACAGCAUACCCUUAGAUUUUUAAUCAAAAUGGCAAUCUAUCAUCCCUUACAGAGUUAGGUAAUGUUUAAAUGAAUAACAUGAAUACAUACCGUGUUUUAAUAGAGAAUAUGGGAGAAAACUUACUGCAGCACAGGAAAACACUCCCUAGAGUACCUUGCAGAUACUUUACUCCUUACAUGAGAAGCUGUGAUCCCACAGCAUGCGUAUCCACUCUAAAAUGAAAAUCAUCUUUAGAUGUGAAUUGUAUUUUUUGAGGCACUAAUACAACCUUUACUUUUGAGAUCUUCUCACAUACUGUAAUUUUCUGAAGGCUUCUCAUAUAGUGUUGCACAUGUAAUAUAAUGUUAUUUCAACUCAGAGCUUUAACUUUAUGCGUGAGCAUUUGCUGGUAUUUUUCACUUCUCCCAGCUGCUAACCUGAGUAAUGCAGUAUUUUCAGAAGAAUGUGAGUGUGAAUUUAAGGAGCUGGCCAAGGGGUCAGGUGUUUGCCUAAUUUUCAGCAGCCUGAACGUGACAGAAAGGUGGGUCAGGUCUGCAGAGACGUGGAGAGACUCAUCUCCUGCUCUGCCCCAGCUCAGUGGGGAGCUGCUCGGCCUGGGGGCCCGAGCACUGCAUGGGCUAAUAGGCCCCACGGAGAGUGGGAUUGAGACCUGGAGCACGAUGGCAGCCCUUUAGCCCAUGAAGGAGCCUGCCCCUUCUUCAGCAGCACUGGAAGAUGCUCCCUUGGUGAACCUUCACUUUCUGUCAGCAUCCACACUCAUUUGGCUAAGCUCCGCUAGUGUAAUGAUACCAUCUCUCUCAACAUCCUUCAUUAUUCUCUCCACUGUUGCUCCCAAGGGGUCUGAUUAAAAUCAGAGGAAAGCUUCCUUGGAUUUUACUGGCUUUGGUAGUCAGGUGUUCCUUAAUUUGCCUUUCUCAUAUGUUUUUAACUGCAUUUUCUGUUAGACUCAAUUCUGCUGUGGUGUUCUUCACAUCCCCCAUCUUCCUCCACUUUUGUAUACUUUUAUUCCUAUUCCUGACCCACUCGACAACUGCUAAAUUACUUAGGCAGUGAGCAAAAUGCAGAUUAAAGAAGUGCUUUCAGCUUUGAGCUAAAAUGUGUUGACAGGACUCAUAAGAGGCCUAGAGGAGACACAGAAAGUGGCAUCAUUUUGGGAGAAAAAAAAGCUAGAAAAAAGAUUCUCAUCAGAUCAGAGGACCCACCAUGGUUUUGUAGCAGCACUUCUAGCUGCCUUAAUGAGGUCACAAGUCCACUUAUGGUGUGUAGAAACAGUUUUAAUUGGUGAUAAUUUUAACACUUGUUAAUGAAACUUAAAGACAGCUGGAAUUGGGUUCUAUCUGCACUAUACCGGUGUAAAUCAAAAGUAAUGUUAUUGAAACUUAUGUUCUUCUUGAUUAGCAGCACUUUAUAAGAAAGCAGACUCUAACACACUCCUGAAUUUCAGCUAUUAUACUAUAUUUCCAUUUAUAACCUAACAUAAUUCCCACACAGCAUAUGGUAUUAAACUGGUGUAAACACCAUGUUAUGAUGAUACCCGAACACAUACAGCUGACAUGAAAAUGUCUUCAAGUACAAUAUUUCCAAAAGCAAUUAUGUCUGUAUGGUUGGUAGUUAGCUUGCUGCGUGACUUUUUCUUUCUUAUUCAUGUGUACAUGAAGGUGACACAGGAUGAAACAUAAUGUAUGAAAAAGGAGACAUUUUCCCUGCUUGCAAAGAAGAAAAAUUACAGGAUGGUCCACUUCUUUUGGCCUGCCAGGCUUUCAUAAGGAAAUCUCACCUUCAUGUGAACACAGUGUUGGAAUUUCCUUUGUUUGCGUUAGAGGGUGGAUGUGUAGAUUAGUGCAAGGAACACAGUGACACAAAGUGAAACUGAUGACAUCUUUGUAAGAGAAAAUGAUCUCCGAAAUCAGUAUUUAAGGAAGUAUUUAAACUCUCAGUGAAAGUUAUACACUCCUUCUGAUGUGUAUAUGCCCCAGACAUGAGCCUCUGCUGGUAACCAAGCAUUUUUCCAUGUUCCCUGCUGAGGCGAGUGGGAGACCAGCUCUCCUUGUCCAGGUAGAUGCAUAUGUGAAAUUCUUAAAAAAAUGGUGUAAUGUUGGAGUUGAGCCAAUAAUUUUGUUAAAAGGAUGUAAAUAAAAGCAUGUCUUUUGGAAAGUAAAUGCUUGUGGAUGCUAAUAUUUUUGCUUGAACACUUGCCAGUAGGGCCAGAUUCACAGCUGGUGUAAACUUUCCUAGUGCCAUUGAGUUAACACCAGUUUGAGAUGGAAAAUUCAUUUAUUAGGAUGAAGUGCAGCUUUUUCACAGACUGUUUGUAGAUCCACCUGCUACCCACGCUCUCAAUUUUUUUAGCCAUUCCUAGUCCCUUUUUUUCUUCCUGAGGAUCCUGUCUUAAAUACAUUCCUGAGACUAACAAAAUAGGACAACCUCAGUGUCAAAUUCUCUUAAUGAAAAGGAACUACUCAACAAUCCAGUUCUGUGCUUGUUAGCAUCAGUAUAAAUCCACAAUGACUUCAUUUUAAUUACUUUAUACUUGCACUAGAGUGAUUAACAGUAGGUUAGGCUGCUGAUGGCUUUGUAAAUUCAGCAUUUCCAGCUCAUCCCUAUUAUCCAAUACAGUAUCGUAUUUCUAGAAAAGAGAUGGGUAAACAAGUUGCAAUGGGGCAAGUGUAAAUCUGGAAUAACUCCACUAAAAAUUUACACCAGUGUGACUGAGAAUUAACUUUAGUCCAUUUAGUUGAACUCCUUUUAAUGGUUUCUGCAUGUUCAAGCAUCCAUCACAGAUUAGAUGGAAACCUGCAGACUUGCUGUUAUCUGCGGUACAAGCAGGACACCAGGGGUGAAAGGGUAACGCAUUAUCACACUGCACCACCUGGCCUAUCCAACACAAUUUAAGCAACCAUAAUUGUAUUGAUUACUUCUUGUGCUCAUGACUAAUGAACUCUAGCUGCAACCUUGCAUUUUCUAAAUCUUUUAUAUUCUGAUUUAAUAAUAAGAUUUGAUUAAAAAUUGCCAUUAGCCAAUGCCAAUGAUUAGUCAGCAGGACUGAAUGCCGCCAAGUUCCAAUGAGUUUUAUUAUUCUGGAAUUAAAAAGGACAGAUAACUUCUCUGGGUUAAUAAUACAACAAUUCUGUCUCAAUCAGGAAUGAAAGAAAACAACUCUAAUGUACAAAUGUAGCAAAAUGUAUGGCUAUUACUAAUAGCCACAUUUUACAGGGAAGUGUUUGAAGAAUUAAAGGAUUUUGUCACAGAUGGUGGGGACAGUUUGCUUUUACUUUUUAUAUUUGAUUGGAAAGCCAGUGUCAGAUGGUGUGUGAGGGGGCAUUUUCCUAAAGAAAGCUAUUUCCUUUGAUGAAACAAGAACAUGGGGUUUAUUCAGUUUCUCCACAUGCAUUCCUGCCACAACAAAACAACGCAAAGUAUAUGUAGGCUAAAAUGAACCAUGAUGGCUUUAGAAAAUGACAACAGGAUAUUUACUUGCUGAGAAUGUAUUAACCUAUGAUAUUUAUUUAUUUAUUUUCAAAAUGAUGACUUAAUAUUUAAACAAAAGGACAUAUUGUCACAUCUUCCACAGAAAAUAAGAGACUAUGCUGUUUCCUUUCAGGAAGAUAAAAUAUUUAAACACAUACUGGUUUUUAGACGUGUAACUAAAUCUUACUGAAGUGUGUUUGCUUAAGGAUAGACUUAAGCCUACACCUAAGAGCUCUGCUGAUUCCGAAUCAAGGCCCUGGUGUUUCUGAAGACGGGGUCUACUAGAGGAGAUGCUCUACGGGGGAAACAUCUGCUGCGGGAGGUGGCGUUCCCUCAGAUCCCAUUGAAGCUGGCUGAAGGACUGGGUGACAUUGAAGUCAAUGAGAGCUGAGAGCACACAGCACCUUUCAGGUUCAGACCUCUAAAUAAUAAAAGACCCUUGAGGCACAGUAAAAGCAUUUCCCCCCCAUCACACAGGAGCAAGAAAACUGUCCUAUCUCACUUUCAUCCUCCAGAAAGCAAAACAUGUCCUGAACCUGAGUCCUUAAAGAUUUUUAGGGUAUUUGAAUAGAGAAAUGCCUCUUUUAAUUACCACGUACAUAAAAUCUUUUGUCACCUUCAGGAAAAUAAUUUUUAAACCUACUUGGUUAAUAAAGUUUGCUUUUGGCAACUGUUGUUUUCUCUGCUUAUUAUAAGUGCCUUUAAAAUGUUUCCAUUAAUUAAGGCUGCUUUUAUGGGCUACAUCCAUUUAGUAAAAUUACAGAAAGAAGUGCUGCCGACACAUCUGCCAUUGACUUCUGUUUGCCUGAGCAUUUUAUACCCCCGUGAAUAGCACAGUGAGGAGAGAAAGCCUGCGAAAGAGAAUGAUAGAAAGAGGUGAAUUCUGUCCAGCAAAACAUGGAGGUCAGGAAAGACUCGGCUGAUUACAUACUCAUAUUUUCCAGGAUUGCAAGAGGAGAGUGGAAAUUUGGUUGAACUCUAGUUACAACAGGAUAGCCCUCUUAAAAAAAACUGAUUGAAAUCCUCAAAAACCAAAAAUUCAUAAAACGUGAGUUUGAAUAGAUGAGAUUUUGUUUUGGGGGAGUAAGUAAGAAGGAGGUUGAUCUGAACAUCUCAGUAUUAACUUAUGGAGGUUUUUAUAUACCCUCAGCUGAAAGCAUUACUAGCCAGAUUAUAAUUAUAAUUACCUUGGCUUCAUCUCAGUGUUUAUCUGCCAUGACACCCACCCAGCCACCUGCCUGCUAUUAAUUCAUUCAACAGUAACUUCAUCUUUUUUCCUUUUAUCUUGUUUUUUUCCUGUUAUCCUAACUUUAAAAAAAUGUGUCCGUUAUUAGAAACAAACUACCACAAUAUUUGUUUGUCCAUGACAUCAUGUGUUCCUUUUUUUUUUUUUAAAGAAAAAAAAAACAAACUCAGAAUUCUUCAUAUUAUAAAAAUAACCUGUUUAUAUUUUAUAGUGAAAACUGGAAAGAUCUGGCAUUUGACUCAAAAACUCAGGACAGCUGAUGAUCUUCUUUAAAUUGAAUCUUUUAAAUACCUUUUUUUUUUUUCCAUCUGAAAUAUUGCCAGAUAUAAAUAAGAGGAAAUUCAUGACAAAGGGCAAUAAGCACGAUACACAGUUGGCUUGUAGGAUUCCACUGCGGGUGCAGUUCUGUAUGAGUCCUGGAUAUUUGUUGCCCUUGUUGCUCUUGGGGUGCUGAAGUUUGUUGUUUGCUCUGACAGAACACUGAAAUGUCCAACUCUGCUGUGAAACAAUGCCUUAAAGCACCCCCCAAACAAGACCAACUUGAAAUAGCAGCCACUCCCACAGUGCUUAAAGCCUCAGGAAAACGUAACACUGUAUUCUGCUAUGCUUUUGAUAGGAGAGAAAGCACUUUUCCCCAGUAUACCUGGGACUGUGAACUGGUGCUGUUGUGUGAAUGUCCUUUUGGAUGUGAGGUGAGCAGUAGAUUGAAGAACAAACUCUAAUGUGUCAGAGAGAGCUAAUUAUAAUAAUGGCUUGGGGUCAGGUAAAUGCUUCACUAUUUAUCUGACCCAAACACUGUUUGUUAUACUCCUUGUGUCAACACAUUUUUACAGAGUGAAAAUUAGCAACUAAUUAAUUUAAUUUCAGGAUUUAAUGCCACUGUAAAGGAAAAUAAGCAAGGCUUAUAUUGAAUAGUAGUGUGUUUAGAAGGGAAUAUUGUAAACAUGAAAGUGAAGAAUCUUUAAAAGCAGGUUUGUGUUGAACGGUGUAAAGGUCUGAUCCUGCGGCCACUCAUCAAACCUCAGUUCAUCAAACUACACUUAAGUAUCUGGUCAAGUUGUGUUCAAAUCAAAAGCAUGUGCUUAAAUAUUUUCUGCACUGAGGUCUCCGACCCUGCUCAAGCAACAUUUCUGAUUUUGUCAAGCCUGCUUGCCUGGGGAAAUGUGUCAGGGUGAAGGCCUAAUUGCCUAUAUUCCUCUCUCUACAUUUGAUGCUCCUUCUUUCAAUGACAUUUCUGCUCCCUGUCAGUUGAAGUUUGGAAAUGUCAGAAUGUAAGACGUGUUACCCCGACCCCUGUACAGAUUUUGGGGGCACAGUUCAAGCAACCAAAUGAAUGAAGGGGAAUUUCUGAGGAGUAUUCUUAUUGCUUAUUAUACUUUUCAGCUUCCCAAAUUAUGCAAGCUGCUGUUUAUUGUUGGUUCCUGACCUGUUUCAGCUAAUACAGUCUUCCUUUGGCAUAACUCACAAAGGUACAGCAGCACCUUGUGUAUAUGGAGACAGUAACUCUUUGCACUGUUAGUCUUUUUAACUUGAAGACUUUAAAUACUUUAGGACCUACUGGGGCUGGAUGUUGCCCCAUCUUUUCUGCUUUCUGUCUUUUCUUCUUAUAUUGCUUUCCCCAUCUCUCCUCCUCUCUACCUUUUUAUUCUUAAAGGAGGUCAGUACUGGAGACUCUACUGUGUGUGAAACACCCUCUUCCCCUAAAGGCCAGAAGAAAGUCCUGGUGUGUCCCAGCCAGGUCCCCAUUCUGGGUGACUGAGGGUCGGGGGCAUCCAAAGUGCACUGUGGGCUGCAGCUGCUGAACAGUUCCCUAUAGUUUAAGUGGCUGGCCCCAGGAGAGACAAGAAAUCUGUGGCAGAGCUUAGAGAACAACCCAGGUGUUUUAGAUGUUCUUCCUCAGUCUUAGACAUCAAACAGUUUUCAUUCCCAAUGUAGAACCAUUCAUUGCUGGGAUAUUUAUAUUACCGUUUAAAAUUAUGGGCCCCUGCAUGCAGAAAUCUCUAUUUUUAGACCUAUUUUUUUCUAAUGAUGAAUUAAGGAAAUAUUUUAAUAGUGUAUAAUUAUCAGAACACGGGUAUCAGUCUAAAACUUGUAUCCAACACUCUGCUGAUUUGGCACUGUGUGGCUAGCCUGACUCUGUCCUCAAAGUCAUCUGCUGUGUCAGACAGCAGCUGCUGCGAGGGAAGUAUGUACAGCUACAGCUUUCACCAAGACAUCCACAGCUCUGAGGCUGGGGACUGAGGGGGCAAUGCAUAGGUCUUGCGAUCUUCCUCAUCUUGUUGGAAAAGGUCACAGAAACCAUCAAAUUGACUGCAGAACAUUCCCUCAGAGCAAUGCACCUUUUGUACUGCAGAACUGCGACUAUUUUUGAAGCCAUGGUCCAUGUGGAACACAAAUCUUUCUUUAGCAUGUAUAUCAGUGCAUUAGGAACACCCUCAGGGGACAGGGAGAUGUUUCCUGUUCAGUGCAGUAUUUCAACAAAAUAUUCUAAAUUAGAGUAAUGUAAAACAGGCAAGAAAACCAUUGCUGGGUGUUGUUUCUUCUUUUCAAAAGCAAGUCAAGGACAAACUAAGGCAUGGAGAUGCUUGACUGUAGUCAAUGAAUGUAUUUGUAGAAUGCGGUAAUAAUAAGAAAAAGGUCAAUGUACUGGAGCCUGUGGAUUCUUUCUACAUUACAAAGUUCAUCAGGCUAAAACAGGCUGGGAAUUACAGUAAUGUAGGGACAGCACAGCAGACCAUAGACUGCAUUUUAGAGAAGAGCUUUGCACGUGCCCCAUGUCCUCUGCUUCUACUCCAUGGGCCUUGCACAAAAUCCGUACCAAUAAAAUGAUCAGCCUGUGUGAAGUAUAAAGGAUUUUAUAUAGUAUAUAUUAGUUUUGUUCAAGAAGUAUCUGUAAAACAGUCAUCUGCCUAGCAAGCAAAUGUCCUAACAUUCACUUGAUAGGGAGAGGAAAUGGCCCUUCAUUUCUCUUACAUGAGUUAUAAAAUGGAAAAGCCACGAAAAAUAUACAGUCAGAAGUGUCCACAAAAUACUUUUUUCUAUACUCUCAGGAAUAAAUUUUCAGUCACAUCUAUUUUCUUGUUCACCAGUGCCCUGUGGAAAGACCUGAUGAAGAGGCAGGUUGGCCUUCAUCCUGCAUGGGUCUCUGCUAUGCCUCACAACAGGUUUGCUAGCAAGUGUUCUUGCUACAAGCAGGUAUUCUGCCUUCAGGCUCUGGCAUUGGCUCGCAGCUGAUGAAACAAAUCACAGUACUGCCAGUUACCUAGAACUGCACAUGAAGGAGAGGAAUAAACUACAUAGAGACCAGAUUCUAUAAUAACAUCACAUGCUAAUCACAAGUGACUGUUAAGAAUGACUUUAUUUCAAUUAUCUUUCCAUGAAGGCUCAGUAAGGCUGGUCUUUGUUAAUAGGUUUCUCUGACCAUCAGUACGUGAAUAUUCAGAGGUGUGAAUAAACCUAAUAUGGAAGGAAAAAAAAGCCCACCAAACAAAUGAUCUUUAAAGCCUAAAACAUGCUCACUGUUUUUCAGAGACAGAACUUUGAACUUUCUUUACAAAAUUUAAAAUGAAUUUGACUGCAUUUGAUACAUCCAUUAAAGAAAAUCACCUCUUUUAACUUCUGUGGCUUUUCCAUGGGCUCCAGAGGUUACCAUGGGUAGGACACCUUAGCAGCCAAUGUUUCAUUAAUAAGAACAUUUUUACUUCCUUUUUUGUUGUUGUUGUUUUGUUUUGUUUUUGUUGUCUCUUGUUCAUAUUAGAAACUUCUGGAAAGCAUGGGCCUUUUAUUGUCAUGAUUUUGGAAGACAUCAGAUGUACAGUUUAGUAUGAAUCUUCAGGCAUGACUAGAAUAGAAACAAAAGAAUAGUGAAUGAUUAUUAGUCAUUGUCUUAGGCUAUGUGAAAAUGUACAGGAAAAAAAUCAUGCUAAACUGGAGUGUUAAAGCACUGGAAAUAUAGACCCAAACUAAGUUCUCAAAAUCAGGAUAAGCCACGGCUGUUGCCUGUUACUUCUUAAUUAACUAAAUGAAGCAUACACAGCCAAUAAAGAUCUAACUUUUGCAGGGUAAAUAAGCUAGGACUUUCAUGGAUGCCAAUAAAAUGAAUGUUGUCUGGGAGAUAUUCAUUAGCUGAGUGGAAGAUGUCUGUUGAGGCUGUGGUCCAGAAAGCUGGUGGAUUUAAUGGCAUGGGCAUGCGGAAUUGUGCAAUAAAGUGAGUGGAGCUGGUAAAAGAAAAGAAGUAGCAGUUCUUGUAUGAAUAUGUUUCAUUAAACUAGCAGUAAAUUGCAGUGACUUUUAUUGUCUUCUGGUCUACGCUGGCCAAGGUCUGACUGCUGCUAGUAGGUCUACACAUUAAUUUGCAGAACAGGAAUGCUGGUUUGCUGUUCCCCACCACCUGAGGUUAGAUAAGGAAAACUUAGUUGGAUGCCUAUUGUGAGUGUGGGGAGGUGAAGAAAAGCAAUUGUGAAACAGAAAAUUCUCAGCUAUGUCUAAAAUCCCUUCUCUCCUAUUUGUGAUUGUAUGGUUAAACAAGAAAAAUGGAAGCCCUUACCUCUUCAGCCAUCGUCUGUUCCUGCUCUGACAGCAUUCUCCCAGUGGUUCGGAAACCUCUAUGUGCUGUACAAGGUGGAGGAAGAAGGAAGGAAGGACUGAAGUUUCUGGAGAAAAAAAGAUCAGCAGAAGCAGAAAAAAUGGUAGCGUGAUGAAGAGCAGCAUUAUGUCACUCUAUUUUUAAAGAGGCAAUGGUAAAUUUAACAUCCAAGGUGUCUUGAGUGGAAGAAUAAACACAGGUGUAGAAAAAUCUUACAGUCCUGCUUUCAACAAAAAUGUGGUGAAACUGAAAAUGAAAGAAUUGCAUCUGUGCCAUUUGAACAGAAGCCCGACUCAGAGCAUGGCAAGGUUCGCUGACAUGUGCCGAUUACACAAACAACUGUAUUUCUUCCUGCUUCAGCCUCUUCUUUUCAUCUUAGCUGGAGGCAAAAGAGAAAUCGUAAAAUACUUGCAGAAGAUUAGAAGAGCUUCCAAAUCCACAUGCAUACCUUGGCCAGAUAAAUGGAGUAUCAUUCUGGCUCAAAUUUUUUUUGUGUGAAAGAUCCUGCUGGAUGCAACAGGUGAGGGUAACGCCUUGAGGCCGCUUUACCUUCUUGGAAAGAGGUGUUCCUUUUCUCUGAACCUGAAACAAUCCUCCUACAAUACUCGCAUGAUGGUCUUGAGAAUAUAAACUGAGAUAGUUUUCAACUGAGGCAACACCUGUAGGAGAUCUCUCUUAGAUCACCCAUGAACACUGGAAUACAGGCCAGUCCUGGUCAUAGAGGUCUACAGCCAGGCUGGUUGUUUUAAUUCUAUAAUUUUGGCUCCUAGUGGCAGAGUGAUCUGGAGACAAGAUAACAGUAUCAAGUUCUGCACACAGCUGGAAUCUGAAGGUGUGACUGUAUGGCUGUGACAAGACUGGUCUUCAGAGAUGCAGCUUAGACAGACAUAGACAGGCAUAAAGGUCACUGCCUGCAAAACUACUGUCCUGUGGAGAAUAACUCAAAUUCGGACCCCUUCUGAACAUAUCCAGUUUUGCUCUUCCACUGUCCUUGAAAGGAACAUAUUUCCUAUACUGUAUGUGCAUGACUUUGGAAUGGUGAUCUACAGAAACGAAUGCUGGAGCAUCCUUUUUAACUCUGGCAUGUUCACAAGAUGAAUCGUGGAUUCCUUCAUGGUGCUGUGCUACGCUGAAGGAAAUUUCAGCUAACUUUGUUGAAGAGCAUUAGGAAAUCACACAUAAAAGCAGGGGUGCCGAUGCUGUGUGCUGAAGGAGGACCCUGCCGAAAAGCAGACCUGACACAGAGAAGAACUGAUAAAAUGUAUGCUCCCUCCAUCUGCCACAGCCACAGCUGUGGCCAAAGUUAGAAGCUGGGAACAGAAAAAGAUGGUCCUUGGGAAAAUGUUAACAAUUGCAGCAAUCCUGGAAUGCUCCGGAGAACACCAUGUAAGACAUUGCCAAGAAAGCAGCAGGAGAACUGAAACCAAUGGUUCUGGGAACACUGAAGGGGAAGUCUGAUUGUCAUUCGUGGCAGAUAGUAACCCAGACUUUAUUAUCUUCAUAUCUUGCAAACAUAAUAUAGCAUCAAGAUGACAACCUCAUCCUUGGGCAGCUUUCUGGGAAGGGAUCUCCAUUGCUGAGGGGCAGAGAACUGAUCUCCUGGACAGAUGUAAGAUACUGAUUGUACUGUGAUACUGGAUGAUAGGGAUUUUCUGGUAUAUAACAGUGUUGAAUUCUACCUUUUCACUACCAAAAUGUACCUAAAAGAACAUUACUUAGGCUACAAAGUCCGAGCCCUGUGUAUUAGAGGAUCUCCAGUCAGUCUUUAUUUGGCCAUAAGUGUAAAUGUAUUGUUCCUAUGAAAAUCUGACCUUUCCCAGUAUUUUGAAGGGAAGGCAGAAAUAGAAUUAGGGAUGGACGCUCAUAUGUUUGACAUUUCCUAACAUUUAAUUCACUUUACAACCCAACCAACUUUCCUUUACUGUUACAUUUUUUAUUACAGACACAUACAUGCACACAUAUAUGCCCAUAUAAAUUUAUAUUACUGAGAGAAAGGAAGCUGUGUUUUCCAUUCAGUAGGAAGAAACAUCUUGAUUGACUUGCUUCUCUGUAACAAUUCUCGAAGAAGACAGGUAAAAUAAAAAGGUUAAGGACCUCACAAACUGUAUGCUACACCUGUAAUUGCAGUACUUAAGGGUUCUUAACCAUAGUGCAGAAGAAUAAAAGGAAACUAUCUCAACACAAGCACUCUUGGAUACAUGCUGUGUCUCUUCACUUUUUCUUAGACCACAGCCUCUCGCCAGCUGACCCAGUGAGCAAGCCCUUUCCAACUUUAGAAGAAUCUACGCUUUAGCCAUUCCAGCUGGGAAGAGCAAGGUUUUAUGUUGCCAUAGCAGCAGUUAGACUGAGAAGGGGAUAAGUAGAAAAGGUGUCAAAGACAGCCAAAAAUAAGAGGUUAUAAAGAAGUGAGAUCCUGUUUUUCUGCAGGUGGGUCGAUAAGUUCCCAUCCUGAUACUCAGGGGUCUGGUUGUGAAAGUGUUUUAGACCCCAAGUGUCAACAUGGGAUCUGUGGUGAGGAGUUGUUAACCUAUGGGAUCACAUCACAGGCAUUUAACAAGAUGUCAUUUGUCCAGACUACAGAGGAUCCUCUCUUUCAGUGUACAUACCCAUUCUUCACUCCCUGUUUAUUACUCAGCAUCGUAUAAUGCAAGCUGUGGUUCCUCUGUGCUCCUCCUUGAGAAAUAUGAACUCAUUCAAUUGCUACAGAGUAGGAAUCCUUGAGCAACAAGUGAGUAUUACUACACAAGAAGAUUUCAAAGAUUUUAAAAUUUUCCCUUUGAUCUCCCUGAGAGUUCAUAACAAAAUUGUUCCCAGCCUGCUUUGAUGCAGAAAAAAGAAUCAAGCUCUUGCAGGCAAAAUCCUGGUGGUAAACAGAUUAUUCAUAGUUUCUAUUUUUUCUUCUGCACUUUCCUGUUGUAUGUAUUUGACACUGAAAAAGUUUCAGUUAGAUGGUGAAAUAUAGCACACAUGAAAAAUAAAAUCUAUAGACUCACAGACCUACAUCAGUAACUGCAACCGAACAAACCAUGCAACUCAAAACCCAGCAAAGAGAUGGUCUGAAACUGCAAUCACUGAGGGCUGUAAAAAGUUUAAAGAAUUAAAGAAAAUGUACUGUGAUACUGUGAAAAUGUUUGUGAAAGUUUGAUAUAAUCCAGUUACUUGAUAGUGACCAAUACAGGAUCCAGUGUGUAGCUGGUGGGCUAGAUUCAAUCAGGAAAUAAAAUUGUCUUCAUGAAUUGUUGCAACUACUUAUUUCCUCUUCCUUUAUUUCUGAGAACUCUACAAUAUUUUCUUCACCAUGUUGUAAGAUUUUAUCUUGCUAUAUGGGAUGGUAGUCAUUGGGUAGAAAUUGACAUGUGCUGCUACACAUCACAUGUGUGUUCUUCCAAUUGAUGAGAAAUGAGCCCAUCAAGAUUUACCUUUCUUUUGGACAUGUUGUGAGAGGUCGGUGUGUACAGUCCCUGAGCACUUCCAUGUAAGGCUGUUAUGUUCCCCAUUAGCUAAAAUGCAGCUCACUGCUGCAGGUGGCUGGACAGUGGUUACAACUUAAAUUAUUUAAGGAUUAAAAGACAUGGUAUUUGAAAUAUAUCAUUGCUAAUUUCAAAAAAUAUUAUUGUCUUGAUAUCAUUCCCAUCCAGACAUGCUUUUGUCCAUCUAUUUUUUUAAUCUUGCUUUUUUACCCUAGAGCAAUUUUACCCUAGAGCAACUUUAUCAUCUCCCUCAGCUGCCAUCUUCAUUUAAUGACGAAAGGAACAUAAAGAUGUGUAGGCCUCAUGAAGCUAUGAAAAAUAUAACCCAGGUUCUGCUGCAAUAAAGGAAUAACAGCUCAUAAUGUGGAAUAGUAUCUGAACACUCAUUUAUCUGAAUAGCCCACUUAUGUCAAUUGGAUUACUCAAGUGACUAAAAGAAUAAAAAUAACAGCAAUUUUUUUUUUAGAAUGAAUGUGAUAAUUUGGCUUUUAGACUUCUUUUGUAUUAAUCUUACCAAACAAUCAGCAAUGAGUUCUUUGAGUUGCUGUGAAACUUGCUCACUUGGUCAAUUAGAGUUGAAUUGUCGUGGUUGCUACAGUGCCCACAGCAGGGACAAUCCUUUUCGUGGGCGUCUAUGGAGUCUGCUUGCACCAGAGCUUUAUCACCCUUGGUAAAAUCUUUUUUUCCCUACUGGGCAGUGGACAUGCCAGCCCCAAGAUGAAGACACAUCAGGUCAGUUCAUAUCAGAUCCAAAUGCCUCACAGUUCUCUGAGAGAGUAAAUUACCUGAGCGCAUUGCUUUGAAACUCAUUGCAAAUACAUUUUCUGUGCAGCAGGCUGUGAUAUCAUAUCCACCCUAUUUGCACAGAAUAUAAGACUAUUCAUUUAUGAGUGCAUAGGCUUUUAUAGAUGUGCUGUUGUCCCAUAUAAGACCUGAGUUUUGCUUGUUGGAAUGUAGUGCCUUUUCACAUUGUAGUUGUAGGCAGGACAGUUGUAGUUGAAGGACAGUAAUUAGUUUACGACAUACAAAAUCAAAUGUUGUGUUUGUGGCUUGCACAUUGAUUCACAUAGUGUUUUACAAAGUCAAGAUUCAGUUUUAUGAGCACAUAAUGUAAGCUCCAAACUUUUGCACCCUUUAUGUAUCAUUUUUGAACUCUUUGGUAUUUUGCAAUUUCAGUUUCCCAGAGCAGCUAAUUUGGUAAUAACAUGUAUUUUGUAGUUUUGUCUUAGAAGGAUAAAGCUAAAGAUAUUUUAAAAAUGAAUAGUUUAUAGCAUUACAUUGUAUUGUUUACUGUUGAAAUAGAACAAUGUUGUAGGUCCUAGAAAUUGAAAUAAACCUUGCAAAUACCUUA